RNAcentral lists this ribosomal RNA (119 nucleotides) under Ochotona princeps (American pika). Lineage: Eukaryota; Metazoa; Chordata; Mammalia; Lagomorpha; Ochotonidae. The record is from RNAcentral.
AUGACAGCCAUACCACCCUGAACGUGCCCAAUCUCGUCUGAUCUCGGAAGCUAAGCAGGGUUGGGCCUGGUUAGUAGUUGGAUGGGAGACAUUCUGAAAUUUUUAAAAAAUUAAUUAUU